UGGGGAAUAUUGGGCAAUGGGCGCAAGCCUGACCCAGCAACGCCGCGUGAAGGAAGAAGGCCCUCGGGUUGUAAACUUCUUUUGUCAGGGACGAAGCAAGUGACGGUACCUGACGAAUAAGCCACGGCUAACUACGUGCCAGCAGCCGCGGUAAUACGUAGGUGGCAAGCGUUAUCCGGAUUUACUGGGUGUAAAGGGCGUGUAGGCGGGAUUGCAAGUCAGAUGUGAAAACCACGGGCUCAACCUGUGGCCUGCAUUUGAAACUGCAGUUCUUGAGUACUGGAGAGGCAGACGGAAUUCCUAGUGUAGCGGUGAAAUGCGUAGAUAUUAGGAGGAACACCAGUGGCGAAGGCGGUCUGCUGGACAGCAACUGACGCUGAGGCGCGAAAGCGUGGGGAGCAAACAGG
Molecule: ribosomal RNA, 407 nt
Filed under: uncultured Oscillospiraceae bacterium
Lineage: Bacteria; Bacillati; Bacillota; Clostridia; Eubacteriales; Oscillospiraceae
Description: bacterial SSU rRNA
Rfam family: Bacterial small subunit ribosomal RNA
Source: RNAcentral